AUAUAUCUAGUAUAGACUGAACAGGCUGUGGGAAGGUGAUAUAUCUAGUAUAGACUGAACAGGCUGUAUCCCACUCUGGGACUAUAGUGUAAUAAUUGUACUGUGAAAUAUUGUCCAUAACCAUAUUGUAUUUUUAGCUGUUUGAAGCUGGUGUACAAAAGUAAAAGACACAAAAAUCAAAUUCAAGACCGGGUAGCAUAGAAAAUAACAGAUCUAUAACUUAUAAUUCUAUGUGUAUUUGGUCAGGUCGCCGAAAAAGUUACAUAUUGCAGCUUAAAGCACUCAAUGGAUGACGUAGUGCA
Non-coding RNA from Salmo salar (Atlantic salmon), 302 nucleotides. The record is from RefSeq and is a predicted model, not a curated record. Lineage: Eukaryota; Metazoa; Chordata; Actinopteri; Salmoniformes; Salmonidae.